RNAcentral lists this ribosomal RNA (500 nucleotides) under uncultured bacterium. RNAcentral describes it as "partial 16S ribosomal RNA". It matches the Rfam family "Bacterial small subunit ribosomal RNA", at positions 30 to 523 of the family's 1533-position model. The record is from RNAcentral.
AUUGAACGCUGGCGGAAUGCUUUACACAUGCAAGUCGAACGGCAGCACGGACUUCGGUCUGGUGGCGAGUGGCGAACGGGUGAGUAAUGUAUCGGAACGUGCCCAGUCGUGGGGGAUAACGUAGUGAAAAUUACGCUAAUACCGCAUACGAUCUAUGGAUGAAAGCGGGGGAUCGCAAGACCUCGCGCGAUUGGAGCGGCCGAUAUCAGAUUAGGUAGUUGGUGGGGUAAAGGCCCACCAAGCCAACGAUCUGUAGCUGGUCUGAGAGGAGGACCAGCCACACUGGAACUGAGACACGGUCCAGACUCCUACGGGAGGCAGCAGUGGGGAAUUUUGGACAAUGGGCGAAAGCCUGAUCCAGCCAUUCCGCGUGCAUGAUGAAGGCCCUCGGGUUGUAAACUGCUUUUGUACAGAACGAAAAGGUUUCUACUAAUACUUGGAGCUCAUGACGGUACUGUAAGAAUAAGCACCGGCUAACUACGUGCCAGCCGCCGCGGUAA